CGGUUGAUCCCGCCGGAGGUUACUGCUAUCGGGGUUCGAUUAAGCCAUGCAAGUUAAAUGUUUUUCGUAAACAUAGCGAACUGCUCAGUAACACGUGGAUAACUUAACCUUAGGUCCGGCAUAACCCCGGGAAACUGGGGAUAAUUCCGGAUGUAUCAAGGAUGCUGGAAUGCCCUUUGGUUCAAAGCUUUUGUGCCUAAGGAUAGGUCUGCGGUCUAUCAGGUUGUAGUGGGUGUAACGUACCUACUAGCCGACGACGGAUACGGGUUGUGAGAGCAAGAGCCCGGAGAUGGAUUCUGAGACAAGAAUCCAGGCCCUACGGGGUGCAGCAGGCGCGAACACUUUACAAUGCGGGAAACCGCGAUAAGGGAACCCCGAGUGCCAGUACUAAGUGCUGGCUGUCUAGAUGAAUAGAUAUCAUUUAAUAGCAAGGGCCGGGCAAGACCGGUGCCAGCCGCCGCGGUAACACCGGCGGCCCGAGUGGUAACCGAUAUUAUUGGGUCUAAAGGGUCCGUAGCCUGUUUAAUAAGUCCUUUGGGAAAUCUGGCAGCUUAACUGUCAGGCUGCUAAAGGAUACUGUUAAACUUGGGACCGGUAGACGUAGGGGGUACUCCAGGGGUAGGAGUGAAAUCUUGUAAUCCCUGGGGGACCAUCUGUGGCGAAGGCGCCCUACGAGAACGGGUCCGACGGUGAGGGACGAAAGCUAGGGGAGCAAACCGGAUUAGAUACCCGGGUAGUCCUAGCUGUAAACGAUGCUCGCUAGGUGUCAGGCACGGUGCGUCCGUGUCUGGUGCCGCAGGGAAGCCGUUAAGCGAGCCACCUGGGGAGUACGGUCGCAAGGCUGAAACUUAAAGGAAUUGGCGGGGGAGCACUACAACGGGUGGAGCCUGCGGUUUAAUUGGAUUCAACGCCGGA
Molecule: ribosomal RNA, 915 nt
Filed under: uncultured Methanosarcinales archaeon
Lineage: Archaea; Methanobacteriati; Methanobacteriota; Methanomicrobia; Methanosarcinales
Description: bacterial SSU rRNA
Rfam family: Archaeal small subunit ribosomal RNA
Source: RNAcentral